UACAAUCAAACAGGUCAUAGGCACAAGCUUUAUGGACAAACUUCAAAAACCUUUGCACAUGUUUUAAACCACAUUCUCCUCCCUUAUUUCUCCGCACAACAACUAAACUCCAUCUAACAUACAACCCAAUUAGCACAGUUAUAAUACUCUAAAUUUUAUAUAAAACAGUUAAUUUUUUUGAAAACUCCAUCUAACAUACAACCCAAUUAGCACAGUUAUAAUACUCUAAAUUUUAUAUAAAACAGUUAAUUUUUGAUUCAAAAAUCAAGAUUUAAAACUUACCUUGCUUUAACAGUUUAAUAAGCUGAAAUUGACACUUAUGAUUCAGUUAUAACCCUUUCUUUUUUCUGCCCUGCUAUCUAAAUUAUCCAGCCCAGUCUACAUUUAAACUAUCUUGCUCCAUUCUUGCUCAAUUUGCUAGUUUAGCCAACAAAGAAGAGAAGUUUUUAUAGAAUUCUGGGGUGCAUAAAUUCGAUAAUCAAGAAAGAUAAGAAAUAGAUUUGAGAUGGAAGGAGAAGAAUUAUUCUUGCCAACUCAUGCUUUAUAUUGGCUUAGUGGCUUAGUUAUAAUUGGACGCGGAUUAGAAGCGUAUUGGACGUGUUUCAAGCGUAUUGGACGUGUUUCAGACACGUUUCAGACGCGUUUUGGACGCAGAUUUUACACAUUUUGGACGCGGAUUGGAA
RNAcentral lists this long non-coding RNA (683 nucleotides) under Panax ginseng (ginseng). RNAcentral describes it as "long non-coding RNA (PGIN_LNC011369)". The record is from RNAcentral. Lineage: Eukaryota; Viridiplantae; Streptophyta; Magnoliopsida; Apiales; Araliaceae.